Orcinus orca (killer whale) is the source of this 2259-nucleotide long non-coding RNA. RefSeq lists it as uncharacterized. The transcript is spliced from 5 exons. The record is from RefSeq and is a predicted model, not a curated record. Lineage: Eukaryota; Metazoa; Chordata; Mammalia; Artiodactyla; Delphinidae.
AUGGUACACAGGGUAAAGGCCUGUAGAUUACGGUGCUGGAGACACCACCUGUACGUAUAACACACUCUCUGCCACACUCACGUAAAUUACACAGACCUUCAAGAUGACCUGUUGUUCCACCAUAUUGAACAAUGCCACAAGGACUCUUCUAGUCAUUGCUGAAAGGUCCCCAGGAUCAGGUUGAACAAGAAUGAUUCAUGCAGGGAAAAGAGAACAAAAUCACAGGAUGACUUACAUUGUAUAUUAUAUAUAAGAGGAAAUCAUAGACUUUACCAGCACUGGUCUAGAAAUUUUCCUCCCAACUGCUUGCCCACUUCAGGCCCACAGGGGAAGCCUGCAUUUCUUAGGAUCCCACCACCCCAGGUACCUUACUCUGCUCUGCUUCAGCUCUGCCCAAGCAAACACUUCCCACUGUUCAUUUAUCUGCUUCCAAAAAAGGCAGCAGGAAGCAGGUAUCCCAGCCCCCCACCCAUCUCCAAUCUCAGCUGCUGCCUUGGCCCAGUCUCUUUGCCAAUGAAACUCAAAGGGAGACAGGGCCACACAGGCAGGAAGAAGGGGGCUGCUCACAGAAACUUCUGGGCAGUUGUAAAAGCAUACAGGUGGGGAGGAAGCCAGAAAAGGAGGAAAAGCAGAAGAAAGGAACAGACCGAAAUAGUCCACAGAGCAAAAGGCCCCACGUUUACAGAACUCUUUACAAUUUGCUAUGUGCUUUCUUAUAUUUGUUCCCUUUAGUCUUCAGGGAGACCCUUAAGGUAGGCAUUUUUUAGAACAUUUUCAGGAAAGGAAACUGAGCCUGACUCAUUUGUCUGAAAUCACACAGCCUGCAAGUCAUGAAACCAGGGGCUCCAAAUCAUUCCCUCACUCCCACUACACCCAUGCCAAAGUAGGCAUGAGUCCAUGGGGCCAUGCUGAGGAGCCAGCUAUGAAUAUUCAGCUGUGAAACACAUAGGGAAGACAUACACACGAAGGCUCAGUCUUCCUCAUUGAGCAUGGAUGUCAUUUAGGCCGUGCCCUGUGGACACUGGGCAUCUUUUCUUCAUUUGUAGCCCCUCAUAUUUGAGUUUCAGACAAUGCAUUUCAAUAAACGGACCAAGGAUAUAAGUAGCAUCUGGGAUCAGCCCUAGAGUAGGGAAUCUGGCCAGGGCAGAAUGGAAAAUGUUUUCCAACAUAGUUUAUUUAAGUAUUUCCAAGUUAAGUUGACCAACCUUGAAAUGUCUCGGGAAGACAACCAAAAAACCAAAUGGCCUGAAAGAAAAAAGCAACUAAGGUACAUGAGCUAUUUAUUUCCCUUUAUUUGCAUUUCUGGUCUAUAUCCAAAUAGGAAAAGAUUUUUAUACAGACUUGCCUUGCCUUGUCUCCAUCACAGAAGUGCCGUAUGAAUAUAAAAUAAGAUUAACCAAUGCAGCAUUUACUCUGUGUGAUGCACUAAUCUAAAUGUUUUACUUUUAAUCCUAUAACAACUCUACAAGUAAGAAUCCUACAAUUAUUUCCAUUUGUGAGAAAAAGAAAGAGGAAGUGGAGGAGGAGGCGGAGAGCAUUUAUUGAGCACCUACAAUGGACUGUCCACAGAGGGAAGCAUCUGAUACACUCUGAGUUACCAACUGAAUCCUCCCAUAAUGCCUUUGGGCACUGCUAUCUACAUUGUACAUUUCCUGGUGAAGAACCUCAGGAAGCUCCACUAUGAUCUGCUCUUCUAAUAGAAGAAUUGUGGUUGGCCCUGCAUUCCGUAAAGAUCCUAUGGUCUAUGAGGGUAGCCUUUCUUCUUUCUACAAGAAAAGGAGCAUGAACAGAAAGAGCGAGGCCAGUCCUACAGACGCACUGGACAUCUGGCAGGAGCCCCUCCCCAGGGUGAAGCUGAUGGACCCACUCUGCCUCUCAGGAACAGUUCAGACCUGGAAAACACCUCCCAGCUCUGCUCCGCAUCCUCUGGCAAAUUCCUCUGGCCGCCAUCUUGAUCUCCUUUAACCAAAGCAACCCAGCCACUCUGUGGCCCAAGCCAAUGGCAAAGCAAAUAAAGGGGAGAGGAAAAAGAACUUGCUUUUACUGAGCACGAUUUACAGUUGGCCCUGCGUAUCUGCACAGGUUCUAACAACCGCAGACUGAAAGUAUUUGGAAAUAAAUUUCCAGAAGGUUUCAAAGAGCAAAAAAAUCAGCACACAAAUAUCGCAGUCCUUCAUUGGCUCUUCCACUUCAGUGUCAAGAACACCAGGUUCAAAGUCUGAAGGAGCAGAACAAAGGUCACCGCUGAGGACAAAGGAC